AACUAACGCUGGCGGCGUGCCUAACACAUGCAAGUCGUACGAGAAAGCCGGCUUCGGCUGGUGAGUAAAGUGGCGCACGGGUGAGUAACGCGUGGAUAAUCUGCCCUUAAGUGUGGAAUAACGUACCGAAAGGUGCGCUAAUACCGCAUAAUGCCUGGCAACGCAAGUUGUCCGGCCAAAGAAGGCCUCUGUUUACAAGCUUUCGCUUCAGGAUGAGUCCGCGUACCAUUAGCUUGUUGGUGGGGUAAUGGCCUACCAAGGCUGCGAUGGUUAGCUGGUCUGAGAGGAUGAUCAGCCACACUGGAACUGAGACACGGUCCAGACUCCUACGGGAGGCAGCAGUGAGGAAUAUUGCGCAAUGGGGGCAACCCUGACGCAGCAACGCCGCGUGAGUGAGGAAGGUUUUCGGACUGUAAAGCUCUGUCGAGCGGGAAGAAGUGUACCAUGGCUAAUAUCCAUGAUAUUUGACGGUACCGCUAGAGG
This 483-nucleotide ribosomal RNA is filed under the name uncultured bacterium. Its description in RNAcentral is "bacterial SSU rRNA". It matches the Rfam family "Bacterial small subunit ribosomal RNA", at positions 29 to 487 of the family's 1533-position model. The record is from RNAcentral.